This 262-nucleotide unclassified non-coding RNA is filed under the name Hevea brasiliensis (rubber tree). Lineage: Eukaryota; Viridiplantae; Streptophyta; Magnoliopsida; Malpighiales; Euphorbiaceae. The record is from RNAcentral.
GUUAGAAAAUAAGCCAAAUAAGACUAAUCUUUUUAGGUUUUAUGAUCAUGAAACAAAAGAAAGCAAAGGACACUUAAACACAAUAACAUAGCAUUCGGCUAAAAGAAACAAAUUAACUGAGAUGAAAACUAACGAACUGUAAGGAAAACACAAACCAAGCACACGUGACACAAGAAAACUCACACAACUCUUUUAAUGGUUUUUCGAUUUUAUAGAACAGAAACAAUAACUAACGAAACAAAGACAAAAAGAUAGGAUUGAA